AGGAAGAUGCCGCCGAGUGGACGGCAAUCGGUCUCGAAAACCGUGGUACAGCAGCGAUGUUGUAGGGGUUCGAUCCCUCCAUCUUCCUC
Molecule: transfer RNA, 89 nt
Filed under: Moorena sp. SIOASIH
Lineage: Bacteria; Bacillati; Cyanobacteriota; Cyanophyceae; Coleofasciculales; Coleofasciculaceae
Also listed under: 1 other name
Description: tRNA-Ser
Rfam family: tRNA
About the family: Transfer RNA (tRNA) molecules are approximately 80 nucleotides in length. Their secondary structure includes four short double-helical elements and three loops (D, anti-codon, and T loops).
Source: RNAcentral